CGGUGUUUGGCACCUCGAUGUCGGCUCAUCACAUCCUGGGGCUGAAGUAGGUCCCAAGGGUAUGGCUGUUCGCCAUUUAAAGUGGUACGCGAGCUGGGUUUAGAACGUCGUGAGACAGUUCGGUCCCUAUCUGCCGUGGGCGCUGGAGAACUGAGGGGGGCUGCUCCUAGUACGAGAGGACCGGAGUGGACGCAUCACUGGUGUUCGGGUUGUCAUGCCAAUGGCACUGCCCGGUAGCUAAAUGCGGAAGAGAUAAGUGCUGAAAGCAUCUAAGCACGAAACUUGCCCCGAGAUGAGUUCUCCCUGAGACUUUAGGUCUCCUGAAGGAACGUUGAAGACGACGACGUUGAUAGGCCGGGUGUGUAAGCGCAGCGAUGCGUUGAGCUAACCGGUACUAAUGAACCGUGAGGCUUAACCUUACA
RNAcentral lists this ribosomal RNA (422 nucleotides) under Salmonella enterica. RNAcentral's name for it is "partial 23S ribosomal RNA". It matches the Rfam family "Bacterial large subunit ribosomal RNA", at positions 2512 to 2925 of the family's 2925-position model. The record is from RNAcentral. Lineage: Bacteria; Pseudomonadati; Pseudomonadota; Gammaproteobacteria; Enterobacterales; Enterobacteriaceae.